Molecule: ribosomal RNA, 491 nt
Filed under: uncultured bacterium
Lineage: Bacteria
Description: partial 16S ribosomal RNA
Rfam family: Bacterial small subunit ribosomal RNA
Source: RNAcentral
AGUGAACGCUGGCGGUAGGCCUAACACAUGCAAGUCGAACGGCAGCACAGUAAGAGCUUGCUCUUACGGGUGGCGAGUGGCGGACGGGUGAGGAAUACAUCGGAAUCUACUUUUUCGUGGGGGAUAACGUAGGGAAACUUACGCUAAUACCGCAUACGACCUACGGGUGAAAGCAGGGGAUCUUCGGACCUUGCGCGAUUGAAUGAGCCGAUGUCGGAUUAGCUAGUUGGCGGGGUAAAGGCCCACCAAGGCGACGAUCCGUAGCUGGUCUGAGAGGAUGAUCAGCCACACUGGAACUGAGACACGGUCCAGACUCCUACGGGAGGCAGCAGUGGGGAAUAUUGGACAAUGGGCGCAAGCCUGAUCCAGCCAUACCGCGUGGGCGAAGAAGGCCUUCGGGUUGUAAAGCCCUUUUGUUGGGAAAGAAAAGCAGCAGGUUAAUACCCCGCUGUUCGGACGGUACCCAAAGAAUAAGCACCGGCUAACUUCGU